GACGAACGCUGGCGGCGUGCUUAACACAUGCAAGUCGAACGGAAAGGCCCUGCUUUUGUGGGGUGCUCGAGUGGCGAACGGGUGAGUAACACGUGAGUAACCUGCCCUUGACUUUGGGAUAACUUCAGGAAACUGGGGCUAAUACCGGAUAGGAGCUCCUGCUGCAUGGUGGGGGUUGGAAAGUUUCGGCGGUUGGGGAUGGACUCGCGGCUUAUCAGCUUGUUGGUGGGGUAGUGGCUUACCAAGGCUUUGACGGGUAGCCGGCCUGAGAGGGGGACCGGCCACAUUGGGACUGAGAUACGGCCCAGACUCCUACGGGAGGCAGCAGUGGGGAAUAUUGAACAAUGGGCGGAAGCCUGAUGCAGCAACGCCGCGUGCGGGAUGACGGCCUUCGGGUUGUAAACCGCUUUCGCCUGUGACGAAGCGUGAGUGACGGUAAUGGGUAAAGAAGCACCGGCUAACUACGUG
Molecule: ribosomal RNA, 468 nt
Filed under: uncultured bacterium
Lineage: Bacteria
Description: partial 16S ribosomal RNA
Rfam family: Bacterial small subunit ribosomal RNA
Source: RNAcentral